GAAAGUUAAAUCAAAAUCAUUUGGUAUUGGAGACUUUGUGUGGAAAUUAGUGCUUCUUGUUAGAUAGUAAGAUCCAAGGUUUGAAAAAUUGUCUUUGAAUUGGAAAGGAUCUUAUCGUCCAUCAAGUCCAAUAGUUACCAAUUUCAUAAUUGACUCCUAUAAACCAAAGGGAGUGUUUCUAGUCUACUUCCAGGCAGGAACUAGAGUCUCAAUGACUGCUUUCUUUGUGAUUGAAGUGAUCUCCACUUAGAUGCAUUACAAGGAAGGAUUGAAUCCAUAUAGACUACUAUGUCCCAUCUUCCCUACACCAACUAUUGAUUUUAUGGAAUCUAAAUUCAAAGGAUGGCGAGGACAAGGUGGAGGUUGUUAUUAUAAGUAACAAGAUCUUCUUGGUAAAUGCCAAUAUAGCUAAUAAAUGACUAUAUGAUCUGGACAUUGUCCAUAUUAGAUUCUCGGGGCAUGAUAAAUAUGAAUGGCUGACAAGUCUCAUGGCAUUGAAUAUGAUGGAGACUAUUUCUUCAAGGUUGGCAUACAUAUUGAAGAUUCAAAGCCAGUGGGUAUGGAAAGGACAUCUAUUGAAGACAUGAUCAAUGGAUGAAAUAUCAAAAAGAGUCAAGACCGUAAAAGAAACACUUGUAAGGAUAACUG
RNAcentral lists this long non-coding RNA (648 nucleotides) under Phoenix dactylifera (date palm). Its description in RNAcentral is "long non-coding RNA (PDAC_LNC006990)". The record is from RNAcentral. Lineage: Eukaryota; Viridiplantae; Streptophyta; Magnoliopsida; Arecales; Arecaceae.